AGCAGUGUGGCUUAAUGGAAAGAGCAUGGGUUUGAGAGUCAGAGGUCAUGGGUUCUAAUCCUGACUCUGCCA
RNAcentral lists this transfer RNA (72 nucleotides) under Ornithorhynchus anatinus (platypus). It matches the Rfam family "tRNA". From Rfam's summary of the family: Transfer RNA (tRNA) molecules are approximately 80 nucleotides in length. Their secondary structure includes four short double-helical elements and three loops (D, anti-codon, and T loops). The record is from Rfam by way of RNAcentral. Lineage: Eukaryota; Metazoa; Chordata; Mammalia; Monotremata; Ornithorhynchidae.